CCUUAAGACUGAGUCCCUACAGAAACUCUUGCGGAAGGAGAGCACGUUCCGGCUCGACGUGGCCUGGCACCGAGUGAAAGGGAGUCGACGCUUGCAGACAAGGCCUGAAGGGCCAGGUGAUAGAAGAUCUGAGAAGCCAUAUGGGAUAGAGAUUAGCAGUAACAAGAAGAUGCCACCACUCCCAAAACAGAAGGGACAAAGGAAAGGGAUGGUUACCAGAGCCCAGAAGGUGAGACCACUGAGUGGGAGUCAGGACUGCGGGUCAGUGCAGCCACUGCAGGAGGAUGCUGCCUGAGAAGGAGCGAGGGAGAAGCAACCAGGACAACUGUAAAAAGCAAGCUUGGAGGCACGCAAUGGGUCAGGUUAUUUCAGGAUCUCCUCCAGAAACCUAGACAUACUGGAAUUGAAAACCUGCCCGACCACCCCAGCUGGAAUUACUUCUUCCUUCUUGGAAUUGAUGGAGCAGGACUUCGACGCUCAUUUGGCACAUCUGUGUUCAUUUAUUCAUUCAUUCCAAAAUAUUCUCUGAACACCCUUUGUUCAGUAUCACGCAGAGUGAGAAGGGAGUGGGCCAGAUUUGAGGAAUGGGCAGGAAGUAGAGAGGACGUGCAGAUGAGGAGGGAGUGGAGACUAAUACCGAACAUAGGGGCUUUCCUCUCAACGGAUUUUGGGGUACCUUACGAUACAUCUGAUUACUAAUAUCUCUUGCACAAAUGAUAAAUGUUCAUUACACACAUACACAAUCUAAGUAUAAAUGCUGAAACAGAAAAAUCAAUUGGGCAAACAGAUGAGAAGCACAAGUCUUGGAGAGAUGAUUGAACAUUUUGUUUUUUCCCCUGGUUGAUAAUGAAACUGUUUUUGAAUGUCAGUUUCAACCAAUCUCUUACCUCCUCUACAGCCACUCUAGAGUAAUAGUGGGGAAAUGGUAAGCUUCUGGAUUUGAUUCUUCUUUGUCAAGCACAAAUUAUCCUGAGAACAUAAAUUACAUCAGUCACUUUUUUUUCCCCCAGGGAAAGCCUUAAGGAGGAAAUUAAGUUGGAAAACAUGAUGCCAGUAAUUUUCUACACAUAAAUGAUUAGUGAUUAAAUAAGCAUUGAGAGUAGAAAUAUUAGGGAAAAGAAAAUAGUUUGAAUAUUAUUGGUGCCCCUACUCUAUUGGAGUGCUUAUAAAACUUGUGACAAGGCCAAAAUGAAAGGGAAAACAUUCUUUUUUUUUUUCUAAAAGAAAUUGAGAUGAAACUAACCAUCUUAAAGUGAACAACUCAGUGGCACUUGGUACAUUCAUAACGUUGUGCGAUCACCUCUACCUAGUUCUCAAAAUCUUCAUCACCCACAAAGGAAACCUCAGACCCUUUACACAAUUUCUGCCCAUUCCUCCCUCCUCUUACUCCCUGGAAACCACAAAUCUGCAUUUUGUCUCUGUAGAUUUAUCUAUUCUGGACAUUUCAUGUAAAUAGCUCAUAUAAUAAGUGACUUUUUGGGUCUGGCUUCUUUCAUUCAGCAUAAUGUUUUCAAGGUUCAUACAUGUUGUAACAUGUGUUAAUACUUCAUUCCUUUUUAUGCCUGAAUAAAAUAUCCCAGUAAAAUAUUCCAUUAUCACUGUUUAUUUAUGUACUUGUCAGUUAAUAAACAUUUGGGUUAUAUAUCUUUUGGCUAUUAUGAAUAGUGUUAUGAAUGCUCAUGUACAAACAUUUGUUUGAGUAUCUGUUUUCAGUUCUUUUGGGUGUAUCCCUAGGAGUGGAAAUGCUAAUUCUUUAAACUUUUCCCACUACCCAUAGAAUCUAGCAUAGCCCAACCCUGAGCUGCUUGCCAGGGUGUCUGUUUUCUGGGAGAAACAAAUGCCAUUAGCAGAGUAGAAGAAUUCUGUUUAUUAAGAACUAGAGUCUGAUCUCGUCAUGGGAUAGUAAAAA
Molecule: long non-coding RNA, 1909 nt
Organism: Vicugna pacos (alpaca)
Lineage: Eukaryota; Metazoa; Chordata; Mammalia; Artiodactyla; Camelidae
Source: RefSeq, a predicted model, not a curated record